RNAcentral lists this ribosomal RNA (253 nucleotides) under uncultured bacterium. RNAcentral describes it as "partial 16S ribosomal RNA". It matches the Rfam family "Bacterial small subunit ribosomal RNA", at positions 524 to 776 of the family's 1533-position model. The record is from RNAcentral.
UACGAAGGGGGCUAGCGUUGCUCGGAAUCACUGGGCGUAAAGCGCACGUAGGCGGCUUACUAAGUCAGGGGUGAAAGACUGGAGCUCAACUCCAGAACUGCCUUUGAUACUGGUGAGCCUGAGUUCGGGAGAGGUGAGUGGAACUGCGAGUGUAGAGGUGAAAUUCGUAGAUAUUCGCAAGAACACCAGUGGCGAAGGCGGCUCACUGGCCCGAUACUGACGCUGAGGUGCGAAAGCGUGGGGAGCAAACAGG